This 497-nucleotide ribosomal RNA is filed under the name uncultured bacterium. RNAcentral's name for it is "partial 16S ribosomal RNA". It matches the Rfam family "Bacterial small subunit ribosomal RNA", at positions 28 to 507 of the family's 1533-position model. The record is from RNAcentral.
GAUGAACGCUGGCGGCGUGCCUAAUACAUGCAAGUCGAGCGGACAGACGAGGAGCUUGCUCCUCUGACGUUAGCGGAGGACGGGUGAGUAACACGUGGAUAACCUACCUAUAAGACUGGGAUAACUUCGGGAAACCGGAGCUAAUACCGGAUAAUAUAUUGAACCGCAUGGUUCAAUAGUGAAAGACGGUUUUGCUGUCACUUAUAGAUGGAUCCGCGCCGCAUUAGCUAGUUGGUAAGGUAACGGCUUACCAAGGCUACGAUGCGUAGCCGACCUGAGAGGGUGAUCGGCCACACUGGAACGUAGACACGGUCCAGACUCCUACGGGAGGCAGCAGUAGGGAAUCUUCCGCAAUGGUCGAAAGCCUGACGGAGCAACGCCGCGUGAGUGAUGAAGGUCUUCGGAUCGUAAAACUCUGUUAUUAGGGAAGAACAAAUGUGUAAGUAACUAUGCACGUCUUGACGGUACCUAAUCAGAAAGCCACGGCUAACUACGUG